GCAAGUCGAACGGUAACAGGAUAGCUUGCUAUUGCUGACGAGUGGCGGACGGGUGAGUAAUGCUUAGGAAUUUGCCUUUUGGUGGGGGAUAACCAUUGGAAACGAUGGCUAAUACCGCAUGACACCUUCGGGUCAAAGUGGGCUUUUAGCUCGCGCCGAAAGAGAAGCCUAAGUGAGAUUAGCUAGUUGGUGAGGUAAAGGCUCACCAAGGCGACGAUCUCUAGCUGUUCUGAGAGGAAGAUC
RNAcentral lists this ribosomal RNA (243 nucleotides) under uncultured bacterium. RNAcentral's name for it is "partial 16S ribosomal RNA". It matches the Rfam family "Bacterial small subunit ribosomal RNA", at positions 57 to 305 of the family's 1533-position model. The record is from RNAcentral.